Molecule: ribosomal RNA, 1243 nt
Filed under: metagenome
Description: bacterial LSU rRNA
Rfam family: Bacterial large subunit ribosomal RNA
Source: RNAcentral
UGAAUACGAGAUGCUACGGCGUCGAAGCAGUGUAUGUCAGACUUCCAAGAAAAGCUCGCAAUGUCAUAAAUAAGGAAUGCCUGUACCAUAACCGACACAGGUGGGUAGGUAGAGUAUACUAAGGGGCGCGAGAUAACUCUCUCUAAGGAACUCGGCAAAAUAACUCCGUAACUUCGGGAGAAGGAGUGCCUUCUUUAAGAAGGUUGCAAUAACAAGAUCCAAGCAACUGUUUAUCAAAAACACAGGUCUCCGCUAAGUCGUAAGACGAUGUAUGGGGGCUGACGCCUGCCAGUGCCAGAAGGUUAAAGAAGCUGGUUAGCAAUAGCGAAGCUGGUGACUGAAGCCCUGGUGAACGGCGGCCGUAACUAUAACGGUCCUAAGGUAGCGAAAUUCCUUGUCGGGUAAGUUCCGACCCGCACGAAAGGCGUAAUGAUUUGGAUACUGUCUCGGAGAGGGACUCGGUGAAAUAGACUUGUCUGUGAAGAUGCGGACUACCUGCACCAGGACAGAAAGACCCUAUGAAGCUUUACUGUAACCUGAAAUUGAAAUUGGACUUUAUUUGCGCAGUAUAGGUGGGAGGCGUUGAAAGUAAUCUUGCGGGAUUAGUGGAGCCAUCAGUGAGAUACCACUCCUAUAAUGUUAGAUUUCUAACUUUGGAUCAUGAUCUGGUCAAAGAACAGUUUCAGGCGGGCAGUUUGACUGGGGCGGUCGCCUCCCAAAUGGUAACGGAGGCGUACAAAGGUUUCCUCUGAACGGGUAGAAAUCGUAUCUAGAGUGUAAAGGCAUAAGGAAGCUUGACUGUGAGACCUACAAGUCGAGCAGGGACGAAAGUCGGUCUUAGUGAUCUGACGGUGCUGAGUGGAAAGGCCGUCACUCAACGGAUAAAAGUUACUCUAGGAUAACAGGCUGAUCUCCCCCAAGAGUUCACAUCGACGGGGAGGUUUGGCACCUCGAUGUCGGCUCAUCGCAUCCUGGGGCGGUAGUACGUCCCAAGGGUUGGGCUGUUCGCCCAUGAAAGCGGUACGCGAGCUGGGUUCAGAACGUCGUGAGACAGUUCGGUCCAUAUCCGGUGUAGGCGUUAGAAUAUUGAGAGGAGCCUUCUCUAGUACGAGAGGACCGAGAAGGACAUACCUCUGGUGUACCAGUUAUCGUGCCAACGGUAAACGCUGGGUAGCUAUGUAUGGAGAGGAUAACCGCUGAAAGCAUCUAAGUGGGAAGCCCACCUCAAGAUGAGUAUUCUCAU